GCGUAACAAGGUCUCCGUUGGUGAACCAGCGGAGGGAUCAUUGCUGGAACGCGCCCUAGGCGCACCCAGAAACCCUUUGUGAACUUAUACCUUACUGUUGCCUCGGCGCAUGCUGGCCCCCUCGGGGCCCCCUGGAGACAGGGAGCAGGCACGCCGGCGGCCAAGUUAACUCUUGUUUUUACACUGAAACUCUGAGAAAAAACACAAAUGAAUCAAAACUUUCAACAACGGAUCUCUUGGUUCUGGCAUCGAUGAAGAACGCAGCGAAAUGCGAUAAGUAAUGUGAAUUGCAGAAUUCAGUGAAUCAUCGAAUCUUUGAACGCACAUUGCGCCCUCUGGUAUUCCGGAGGGCAUGCCUGUUCGAGCGUCAUUUCAACCCUCAAGCAUUGCUUGGUGUUGGGGCACUGCUUUUAACGAAGCAGGCCCUGAAAUCUAGUGGCGAGCUCGCCAGGACCCCGAGCGCAGUAGUUAAACCCUCGCUUUGGAAGGCCCUGGCGGUGCCCUGCCGUUAAACCCCCAACUUCUGAAAAUUGACCUCGGAUCAGGUA
RNAcentral lists this ribosomal RNA (548 nucleotides) under Diaporthe phyllanthicola. Its description in RNAcentral is "eukaryotic LSU rRNA". The stretch from base 217 to 370 matches the Rfam family "5.8S ribosomal RNA". Lineage: Eukaryota; Fungi; Ascomycota; Sordariomycetes; Diaporthales; Diaporthaceae. The record is from RNAcentral.